CUGUUAACUAUAGCUAAAGCCAGCGAGCCGCCGAUAUGGUCGUUGAGCUCAGAGGCGGCUCUGUAACUUGCUUGGUACUGAACCAAGAAUACUGCUACUAUGGCUGUCCCAAUUGGGAAUUUCUUUAUCCUGAAAUGUCUUCUAUUGUCUCUUCUACUAGCAGGUUUCUCUUCUGAAGGAAAUGUCUUACGAGUCACUUGCGGAAUCGAGCUAGCUUUGGAACUGGUGUUGUUUCCAGACGAGGGAAGAGCUGUGUUUGAUGGAGUCCAAUAAUCUUCUCCAAGCAUGUAAGCUGAUCCUUUUUCUUUAGUUUUCCCCCCGCUCUGUUCUGCUUGUUUCAUUGCUGCCACAGCAUCUUGAAGCUUUCUGAUAUCUGGAUCAACUGUUUUUUUUCGUUUGGUGAAAGUUAGACUCAUGUUUGAAUCUGGACUCAACGGUUUCGUGUACGGUGAUGAUCUCCAGUAUAGCCAAUUGGAAAUGGACCUUAUUGCCUCUACUGCACUUAUUUGUACUUCUCUCUGCAAGUAUUAAUAUAACUACUUAUUAUCUGACAGGUAAGUUUAUAACUUGGCUUUUACUACUUCUUACUUCUUAGGAUAAUGGAUAACUCACCUGGGAAGUUUCUUUCGUGGUUCGGCUCAUGGCUUUGGCGUAUCUUUCUUGGAACUUCUUGACAUCAACAAAUACAUUGGAGACACGCUCGCCAACCGUGUUUCCAACCCCGAUUCUCACGUUGCCUCGUGGUUGCUUUGACAUAAGGAACUCUAAUGGAGCAAGGUCAGAUCUCUCCACCAUUCUGCACAUCUCAUAAAGAAUCAUACUUUAUGUAUUUCUCUAAAUGUCUCUCUUGACUUCACAUAUUGAGAGGGAAUUGAAACAAAACCAUUACUACAUGUCUACAUCUACUAGUUAUGUGCUUACGAAAUGCAGUCGACAAGGCAAGCUUCGAUGGCUUCUUUGAUUUUGGAUUCAGGAUCAGCCCAUUGAGCAACAACCCUCGCUCUCCCGUAAGCAGUUUCAAUAGCAAAUGUUUUCUCUGCACACAAAGCACACUUUAAGCAACCAACACACUUAACCUCGUCAACAAAUGCAGCUCGUUGCUCUGUUUCUGGUCCACACCAAACCGAAUAGAUCGGUUUCCCUGUGUAUCCUCUGAGUUCUUCCAGUUUUGCUUGCUCCUACAACAAGAAAGUUUCAUAUUUACUUGGUGUGCCCUUGACAG
RNAcentral lists this long non-coding RNA (1222 nucleotides) under Arabidopsis lyrata. Its description in RNAcentral is "long non-coding RNA (ALYR_LNC001278)". Lineage: Eukaryota; Viridiplantae; Streptophyta; Magnoliopsida; Brassicales; Brassicaceae. The record is from RNAcentral.